RNAcentral lists this long non-coding RNA (229 nucleotides) under Phoenix dactylifera (date palm). RNAcentral describes it as "long non-coding RNA (PDAC_LNC010739)". Lineage: Eukaryota; Viridiplantae; Streptophyta; Magnoliopsida; Arecales; Arecaceae. The record is from RNAcentral.
AACUUUUGCUGCAGUUUUCUUCCUACUAAAAUGACCACCACAAGCAUGGUCAUGACAAAAGAAAAGGACAUUCCUUUGAUCGUGUUCAGGGAUGCAUCGUCUGAUGAUUUGAUCAGGACAAUAUUUGAACAAGUAUGGUUCAUCCCAAAAAUACCAUUUUACACGAGCUAGGAAGCAAAAUUUCUCUUGUUUGGUCCAUGAACUGGGCAUUCGUUCAGUAACUAGAUAG